GAUACUGAGCCGGGCCUUAACGGGCUACUUUGAUGUGGUAGAAUUCAAGGGUUUGAUCCCUUCAGUAUUU
RNAcentral lists this transfer RNA (70 nucleotides) under Mimachlamys nobilis (noble scallop). RNAcentral describes it as "tRNA-Ile". The record is from RNAcentral. Lineage: Eukaryota; Metazoa; Mollusca; Bivalvia; Pectinida; Pectinidae.